RNAcentral lists this ribosomal RNA (234 nucleotides) under uncultured prokaryote. RNAcentral describes it as "partial 16S ribosomal RNA". It matches the Rfam family "Bacterial small subunit ribosomal RNA", at positions 524 to 757 of the family's 1533-position model. The record is from RNAcentral.
GACGAAGGUGGCAAGGGUUAUUCGGAUUUACUGGGCAUAAAGCGCGCGUAGGCGGCUUGGCAAGUCGGGGGUGAAAGCCCGCAGCUCAACUGCGGAACUGCCUCCGAUACUGCCGGGCUUGAGGGCGGGAGGGGUGAUUGGAACUCCAGGUGUAGCGGUGAAAUGCGUAGAUAUCUGGAGGAACACCGGAGGCGAAGGCGAAUCACUGGACCGCUUCUGACGCUGAGGCGCGAA